RNAcentral lists this long non-coding RNA (737 nucleotides) under Gallus gallus (chicken). Lineage: Eukaryota; Metazoa; Chordata; Aves; Galliformes; Phasianidae. The record is from RNAcentral.
GUAGGUUCAGAAAGCAAUCAGCUUCAAUAACAAAGGAAAAGUUCUGUGUAGGCUGCUAAACAUAAAGAUGCUCUAUCUGGCAGAAUAAUCUCAGAGUCUGAGAGUGCUGGAGUUUGGGAAAAUAGUCUGACAAACUGUAAAAGUAUAUGCUUGUCCUGCUUUGGAACCAUUCCUCAGGUCUCAGUUACUGAUCUCCAUCAGAGGAACAGUGCUGAGGCCUUCAUGGGCUUUUGGUGUGAACCAAUGAUUCUUAUUUAUAUUUUUAUAUACAUACCAUGUACUCCCACUUAUAACCACUUCCCAGUAAUGCCGUCCGCUGUCAAUGAACACAUUGCCAGCUACUCCAUAGCUCCCUUGGCUCGUGAAUCGCUCUGGUGUAUGACUCUUUUUGGAGGAGGUUUCAUCACGUUCCACUGUCAAAUUGUCAUGAGACACUUUCAGCUUUCUAUGAGCAGAUUUGGGGUCCAGUUUAAAUGGCUGACUGUUUGUCUUGAGCUUGCCUGGCUCGCUGCUUCUGCUGCCAGCCUGAUUAAUAGCCUUAACAAUGAAGAUGUACUUUGUGCCACUCUGUAACCCAUGCACGGUGUAGUGGUUUUGUUUGAUAUUGGGAACAAUCAUCCAGCUGUCGGCUGAGUUACAUAAACUAACAACGUUAGCUUGUCCAGUGAAGAUGGUGUACUGCAGCUCGUAAGAGACCACGCUGAACUCAUCGUCUGAUGUCCAGUGGACAGUAAUAG